UUGUCCAUGAAGUUGCAUGUAAAUAAACUUCUUUCACUUUAUAUUAUGAUUAAAAGUUUGAGAUUCUAACCAGAUUUUUGAAAUUGGAGACUGAAGAAUUCUCAUUUCAGGAAUGGACCAAAUAAUUGUUGUAACUCACAGAUUAAUAGUGAUGACUGAGUCGAAAACCUUUCCUUCUGAAGAUAUCGUUACGGAGAGCGAAACUAGUGACUGGCAAGUCUGUACAUAGAUUUUAUUGCUGAGGUGACCCGCCGCAUUGUUUUGUGGAGGACACUACUUCAGCCUUCUUUGUUUAGAGUCUUUUAUUUCUUUCCUUGGAUUUGCAUAGCCGACAGUUGAAGUCAUGGAAUUCUAUUAAAUGCUCCAUGGUAUUAAUAAGGAAUUUGGGGUGGAUAAAUAGUUUUCAAGUAAUUGUUGAAUUAUUAUAUUGAUUAUCAAAUCUUGGUUUA
Capsicum annuum is the source of this 449-nucleotide long non-coding RNA. RefSeq lists it as uncharacterized. The transcript is spliced from 2 exons. Lineage: Eukaryota; Viridiplantae; Streptophyta; Magnoliopsida; Solanales; Solanaceae. The record is from RefSeq and is a predicted model, not a curated record.